GAGGAAACUCUGAUGCAGCGACGCCGCGUGAGUGAAGAAGGUCUUCGGAUCGUAAAACUCUGUCCUUGGUGAAGAUAAUGACGGUAGCCAAGGAGGAAGCCCCGGCUAACUACGUGCCAGCAGCCGCGGUAAUACGUAGGGGGCGAGCGUUGUCCGGAUUUACUGGGCGUAAAGGGUGAGUAGGCGGUAAUAUGUGUCAGAUGUAAAAGGCUAAGGCUUAACCAUAGUUAGCAUUUGAAACUGUAUUACUUGAGUGCAGGAGAGGUAAGUGGAAUUCCUAGUGUAGCGGUGAAAUGCGUAGAUAUUAGGAGGAACACCAGUGGCGAAGGCGACUUACUGGACUGUAACUGACGCUGAGUCACGAAAGCGUGGGUAGCAAACAGGAUUAGAUACCCUGGUAGUCCACGCCGUAAACGAUGAGUGCUAGGUGUUGGGUAGCGAUACUCAGUGCCGAAGUAAACACAAUAAGUACUCCGCCUGGGGAGUAC
Molecule: ribosomal RNA, 488 nt
Filed under: uncultured bacterium
Lineage: Bacteria
Description: bacterial SSU rRNA
Rfam family: Bacterial small subunit ribosomal RNA
Source: RNAcentral